UCAAUUAUGACUAACUACAUUUCUUUUCAGGGUUGAACAAAUAACACAGACCUAUACAUUUUAUUUCAAUAUCCUAUUACAAUUUACCAGGGUUGACAAAACCCCCCCUUUUUUUAAUAUUAUUAUUGCACCUGAAUUUGACCUUGAAAAUAUACCUAUUAUAUUUUCUCUUAAAGCUUUUAAGCAAUUAACAUAAUGUGUGCAGUAGUUGUAUUUUCAUUUCAGUAGCUAAAUAAGGAGGUAGGCAUAUUUCAGUAGCUAAGGAGGUAGGCACUUUUCAGUAGCUAAAUAAGGAGGUAGGCACUUUUCAGUAGCUAAAUAAGGAGGUAGGCACUUUUCAGUAGCUAAAUAAGGAGGUAGGCACUUUUCAGUAGCUAAAUAAGGAGGUAGGCACUUUUCAGUAGCUAAAUAAGGAGGUAGGCAUAACAUUUGGAUUGGAAUCUGUGCCUUGCAUGCAGCAAUAGAUCUCUAAUCUGCUAAAUGGUGGUCCCUGUUCUCCUGCAUUCUUGUUUUACUUUUGUAAGUAAAGCAGUGGUUUGUUGGGGAGAAGAACAUCAAGGAAACUGCUGACAGAUUUUAUAGCUAGCUAACGUUAGCUCUCUGGCUAAUCGUCUAUGUACAUUUACAUUUGUACCUGUUGUAGCCAUUGGUUGUACCUAGCUAGCUUUUUUUUAUAUAUGUUUAGUUAGUGACAGUAAUUGUGUGUAUGUGUGUGUGUGAAUAUUGUCAUGUCAACAUUUAGUCAUGCUAGCUGUGUGUGUGUGGGAGAGAGAUGGUUAAUGAAUACACAUAUAGGAAACAUUGAUUGUGUGUGAGACAUAAGCUGGCCUAAUUCUUGAAACGUGUACCCCCAAUGUGGAUGUGAAGUUUUUCUUCAUUCAUCAGGUAUUUUUGUGAAUUUUGUAUUUGACAAUACAAUACAUUUUGCCUAUCCCUGCUCCCCUUCAACACUAAUUCUAACAAUACACCUGUCAACUGCCUAUUUCAUUUCCUGAUUACUUAAAAAAAAACAGGAAUCUUCCAGCUUGGAAGGAAGGAUGGAGGAGGGAACAAAGGGAAGGAGUACAUUAGUUAUCCAGUCUGCUGACUGAGAAAUGUAAACAGUCAAUGUUUUGCUGUCUAUCUCUCUGCGUCUGUCUGUCUGACUGCAAGAUUGCUGAGGGGCAACAUAGUCAAUGUACUUGCUAUUCUAAGUCUAACUUAGUGAAGACCUUAGGUAAUGGUUAAUUAUGAUUAGUCUCAGUUUUUAUAGCUCCUGAAACAUGUCAAUGACCUGAUGCGAGGGGAGAAUCUCAAUUGCAUUCACCUCGCUCCUCUGUCCUUCUCAUCCAAUGGGUUUUGAGAAGGAAGUGAGGGGAGAGGACGCAAAGAGUAUGACAUUGAGAUUCUCCCAUGGACUUUACAGCAGUGCUUGGCCACCCACUCAGUUAGCAGUGACCUAUUCUGCCACAUCCCAUGGAAAGGAGUGAGCAGAACCACCCCUUCCUUUGCAUCAGGUCUCACUGAGACUGGAUUCCCCAAGAGGUACAUGCUAUUCAGCUGAUGAAGCGCAAGAAGAAUGUUAUGAGUGAUGACCAAUGAAUUAAUGACCCACUUCAAUAUGAAGGGACAGAGGAGCGAACAUGCCUUCGCUACCACUCAUGUGUGUUCCAUUGUAGUUGAGAAAGUGUCAUGAAAAGCCAGAAAACUCAGGAGGUUGAUGUGUUGCAGGCCCUCUGGAAAGUCCUAAAAUAUGCCCCUGAUCGCCAUGGUGGAGGAGAAUGCAAAGUAUGUGUAUGACCUCUGUCCUUGCCAACAAAGGGUAUAUAACAAAGUAUUGAGAUAAACUUUUGUUAUUGACCAAAUACUUAUUUUCCACCAUAAUUUGCCAAUAAAUUCAUUAAAAAUCCUACAAUGUGAUUUUCUGGAUUUUAUUUCCUAAUUUUGUCUGUCAUAGUUGAAGUGUCCCUAUGAUGAAAAUUACAGGCCUCUCUCAUCUUUUUAAGUGGGAGAACUUGCACAAUUGGUGGCUGACUAAAUACUUUUUUGCCCCACUGUAUGUAUUUUUUAACUGACAAAUAAAAUCAACCAAUC
Oncorhynchus nerka (sockeye salmon) is the source of this 2073-nucleotide long non-coding RNA. RefSeq lists it as uncharacterized. Lineage: Eukaryota; Metazoa; Chordata; Actinopteri; Salmoniformes; Salmonidae. The record is from RefSeq and is a predicted model, not a curated record. The transcript has 3 exons.